GCAAACUUGGUCAUUUAGAGGAAGUAAAAGUCGUAACAAGGUUUCCGUAGGUGAACCUGCGGAAGGAUCAUUAUCGAGUUUGAAAGUAAGAGGAAGAGUGCGGUUUGAUGCUGGCGUGAAAGCGCACUGUGCACGGCCGCUUCUCUUUUUCUUACGCUCAAUCCACUCAACCCCAUGUGCACCCACGAGGAGCUAGUAGUCGGCGUUGUUAGUCUGUUCGCGUGAAGUAGUCUUGAUUCAUUAAGGCGAAAGCUUACGGGCGUUUAGUCGACGAAUGCUUCGUUUUAUUAUCAACCAUUUGGUGUUUCUGUAUUAUGGAAAUAUGAGAUAAUUAAAAAAGUACAACUUUCAACAACGGAUCUCUUGGCUCUCGCAUCGAUGAAGAACGCAGC
This 392-nucleotide unclassified non-coding RNA is filed under the name uncultured fungus. Its description in RNAcentral is "partial contains small subunit ribosomal RNA, internal transcribed spacer 1, and 5.8S ribosomal RNA". The stretch from base 1 to 73 matches the Rfam family "Eukaryotic small subunit ribosomal RNA", at positions 1759 to 1831 of the family's 1831-position model. The record is from RNAcentral. Lineage: Eukaryota; Fungi.